RNAcentral lists this small RNA (1584 nucleotides) under Rattus norvegicus (Norway rat). RNAcentral describes it as "uncharacterized LOC102549408". Lineage: Eukaryota; Metazoa; Chordata; Mammalia; Rodentia; Muridae. The record is from RNAcentral.
UAAAUUUUCUAAAACAGCGUCACCAGCUGGGAGGCAACCAUUUCACACUCAAAACACAAGUUUUUUUUUUUCCCCCACAAGUCUGGGUGGCUUCUUCUCAGGCACCGCGCUCUUUGUGUGGGGAUUCUUGGGGGUUUUGUUCCAGCUCGUGACUUGGGAGAGAAGCCAAGCCAAUUAGGGGUGAAGUCCAGACCUGCAGAACAUGCUAGUGUUGCCAAGAAGCUUAGACCCUGACCCAGGAUGCAGUGGGCAUGGAAGGACACGGUCCUUGGCUUGAUGGCUUCAUAAUGCUCAGUUCAAAUCCCACCUCUUGGCCACAUGCUGAGUCAAGAUCAGUGGUGAUAAAAUCCUUCCGAUGUGGGAAGUCCGACUCAUCCCUUUCUACCUUCCAUUCCGGUCAAGGCCUGCCAAGAAUCCCACCGUGAGUAGUGUGCCCUUCUGACUGCAGGAGAGGAGAGUUUCUGCAGAGUGCUGUGAAUUGGAUACUUUAGUAUUUUGCAGAGCCGCUAGCCUGAGGCUCUUACUAGGACGUGGGCAGACAAUCAAGAAUCCCGCGCUGGUUCAUGUGCUCUGCCAGGGCUCUACUGCGAUGGACUAAUUUGCAUAAAUCUGCUUCUGAGCACAGCUGGCCUUGCAAUAGGAAAGCGAGUUAUACCCUUUCUCGACUCACCUCUUGCUCCACUGAGUAACUUUUGCACAGCAAGUCCCCACCCAGUGAACCAGAUCAGUCACAGAAGACACCCUGCCUCCGGCUUCCCCAGCAAGCUCCAAUCUGAGCACGCUGAAGUGGUCCCCACAGCUCUGCUUCUUUAAGUCUUUCCACUUCUUCCUGCUUCUGCGCCUCUGCUGAUUGGCAAAGCACAAUGCUGGUGGCCUUGCUGUGGCAACGAGGUGGAAGCGAAUGGCCUACCUGCUCUUUGUCUCGGGAUUGGGGAUGACUUUUGUUUCUACACAGAGUGAGAUAGCUUCUUGCUGUCAUUUUAGAAGGACAGAGCCAUAUGAGCCUUCAUGGGGAGAAGGGAAGAGGGCUGUGGAAUAAGGUAACCUGUCCUUUUCGAUGAACCCUGGAUUCUUAAAAGAGAGGCAUUGGUUCAGAGUGAAAUGGACAUUCUCCUGGGUCAGGCAGUGACAGACAACAGUAGGCUCUAAGCAGAGUGCUGUCUAUGACCACCUUUCUAACCCCAGAGAAGACGUUAGCAUCUCUGAUCGCCCACAGUGAAAUAUGGAUGAUUCAGCUCCUCCAGGGGUAAAGUGUGUUCUACUGCAGAUGCUGCUGACAUCAUGGGCAACCUACUCCAUCUGUCAUUUCCUCCCAGCAUUCUGCUGUCUCAGGGCUCUUGCUCUCAUCAUGUUUCCCAGCAGAGCCACAGGUGGUAAAGCCAGUUGUCAAGCCAUAGAUGACAAGUGUGACCCCACAAUGCCCAGCCAGGGCAUGAGGGAGGGGUUACCCUAAGGGAGGCCAGGCAGGGGCAUCAGUGCUCAGGAAGAGGGGUUGGCAUACCCUCAAGGUCUAAAGAAUAAGCUUCACUCCACAGAGAAGACAGACCAGUGGUUGGUUAAUUAAUAAACAUCUCUUGUCUCCCA